RNAcentral lists this ribosomal RNA (336 nucleotides) under uncultured Nitrospira sp. Its description in RNAcentral is "bacterial SSU rRNA". It matches the Rfam family "Bacterial small subunit ribosomal RNA", at positions 335 to 672 of the family's 1533-position model. Lineage: Bacteria; Pseudomonadati; Nitrospirota; Nitrospiria; Nitrospirales; Nitrospiraceae. The record is from RNAcentral.
ACUCCUACGGGAGGCAGCAGUAAGGAAUAUUGCCCCUUUNANCGAAAGCCUGACGCAGCGACGCCGCGUGGGGGAUGAAUGUCUUCGGAUUGUAAACCCCUUACAGGAGGGAAGAUGGAGCGAGCAAUCGUUCGGACGGUACCUCCAGAAGCAGCCACGGCCAACUUCGUGCCAGCAGCCGCGGUAAUACGAAGGUGGCAAGCGUUGUUCGGAUUCACUGGGCGUACAGGGUGUGUAGGCGGUUUGGUAAGCCUUCUGUUAAAGCUUCGGGCCCAACCCGGAAAGCGCAGAGGGUACUGCCAGGCUAGAGGGUGGGAGAGGAGCGCGGAAUUCCCG